This 560-nucleotide long non-coding RNA is filed under the name Ananas comosus (pineapple). RNAcentral's name for it is "long non-coding RNA (ACOM_LNC034777)". The record is from RNAcentral. Lineage: Eukaryota; Viridiplantae; Streptophyta; Magnoliopsida; Poales; Bromeliaceae.
GAGAUUUUGGGUUUGCUGCCAAGACAUCUUAUUUGAUGUGUUUUGUGGCAGCGGGUGACUCAUAGCAUGAGUCGGUGCGUUCCGGGACAUUUCAGUGGUCCCGACGGAGUCCCGGUACGAUUUUCGGGACUUCCGGCGAGUUACGGUAGUCGGUUUUAGGAAACCGAUCUCAGUGGGAUUGUUUGUGGGGUUGUACGUUUAGUGUUUUAUAUUCGUGGGUUAGAUACUAACCUAGUGGACCCUCCGUAGGUCCGGUUUACGAUCUUUUGCAGUCAGGAGACAGGCGCGACAUUCGUACAGGUGGGUACUUCGAUCCGACGUUGGUACAGUGGUGCACGCUCGGUGAUGGUUUCUUACCCUUGCUCUUUUGUUAUUAUCCAUGCAUAUAUUAUAUGUUGAGCUUUGCACCUCUAUUGUUUACAUUACACCCACGUUGUUUGGUUAUACUCUGCUCGUUGUUUACAUGCUUAGUAUCCUCAGUAGGAGUAGAGUAGUUUAACUGUAUAUGAUACUAUGUUUCCAUAUUGCUCUACUUGCCUGUUCUACAUAUCCUGUAUUCU